Molecule: long non-coding RNA, 1013 nt
Filed under: Homo sapiens (human)
Lineage: Eukaryota; Metazoa; Chordata; Mammalia; Primates; Hominidae
Description: non-protein coding lnc-ZNF507-2:1
Source: RNAcentral
CUUCCAUCUAACCGCUCCUACUGACCUCACCAUCAGUGAUGCAGAUGUACUUGUCACAUCAUAAACACUUGGCACCCAUUGGCUCUUCCCCAAAUGGCUAUCAGAAUUGCAGUUUCAGCCACCAGCAGCUCUCCGAUGGGCACAGGCUCCACUUAUGGCUGGUUUGGAAUGGCAAAUCCAUCACUCUCUUUGCCUGUAAAAUGCCAAGGAGACUGAUCUAAGCAGGGGGUUCCCAUCCAUGGCCUGCUCUAGGCCUGAAGGAACACAGAUGGCAUUUGCAGGAAGAUGACAUCUCACCAUCCCCAUCUGAGCAAAGCCUGCCCAUCAAACAACCAAAGGAUAGCCAGUCCCCUGCACAGUGUAAAGUGACUUGCAGUGAUCCUCUUCCCCAAGGCCAGCCCCAGCUCUCAGACCUCCAGUCCCAACAAGUCUUUUUUUGCAAAGGAGGCUCACCCUGGAACAUGGCUCUCCCAAGGGGAGACAGGAACGGAUGUUGACUUCAUCCCAGCAGCUUCUGACACAAUGCCACUAUCUUUCAACUUUCUCCACCAACAGGGUCAGGCUGUUGAUUGGCCUCGACUGCAGUUAGCCUGACACGGCUAGCAGCCUCAAAACAAAUUAAACGAGGCAGGGAUGCCGUGCAGUGAUCGUUCCAUUAUGUCCCCUCUGCUUCCACACGUGACUCACACUAUCACUUUUAGAAGGUGAAGCAUCUUAUUGAAUCAACACCUAAUCUGCACACAGUGUCACGGAGGAGGGGCGAGGGGACAGCGGGAGCAUUUUCUCUGAUCCUUUUCUUUCCUGAAGACUUCGCUGGAGACAGGCUGGGUGGGGGCGAAGAUGAAUUGUGAGGAACCCUGACCCUAUUUCAGUACUGCUGCUACUGUCAGCUCCGACAGAUUUAUAGCCCAUUCAUUCAUGGGAACAAAAACCCUGCCACGGCUGGUCAUGGGACACGCAAUAGCAGUUAGUUCAAAAGAUAACAGCUGCAAUACCUCACCUCUCCAUUCAGC